Panicum virgatum (switchgrass) is the source of this 1452-nucleotide long non-coding RNA. RefSeq lists it as uncharacterized. The record is from RefSeq and is a predicted model, not a curated record. The transcript has 4 exons. NCBI's taxonomy places the organism in Eukaryota, Viridiplantae, Streptophyta, Magnoliopsida, Poales, Poaceae.
UUUGAAAACAAAACCUGGCCGCCGUCGAGAUCUCGUCCUCAUCCAGACAUCCAGGCAGCGGCGAGCAGCGUCCGCCCCUUGGCGCUGCAUUCCGCGCCAAGCCACGCGCGGGACGCCCGGCCCUAACUCCCCUGCAGCAGAAGCCCGUGGAGAGCGCGGCGGCCAUGGAGGGCGAGGAAUCGGAUUCAGAAGAAAAGAGCUGCGUCGCCUACAGCUUGAAGAGUGGCGGCCGGCGGCGACGAAGGUCCCACUUGUUCGUCGGGUCCGUCAAACCAACGCAAUGCGGCGGCAGCUCGGUAAGCUUGUUUCCUCUGUCCCGUUCGGCUCAAGCUGCAGAGCAAGCACAAGCAGAUCCAGGUCCAGGUCUGUCUGUGGUGACUUGUUUGAUUUGGACAUGGUUGAAUAUCAGACAACUUUGGCUAGGGAGGAUGAAGCCCCGGUUAGUAGACGACAGUGAUUCGUCAUCCAUCAGUCAAAACUCGAGUGCCAGGCUUCCAUAAAGCUAGAAAGGUGAACUUUCUUGUCGUUGAAGCUUUCAUGAUGAUCCAGGAUCUACCGGCGUGAUCCGGAUGUUUCAUCGCGAUUCAGAACAUUGGUCUCCAUGGCAUGCAAUCCUGAGUUUAGCUCCACAGAAUCCAGGAUUGCUUCACCAUCUCCAGCAUCAUCGUUCCUUAAGUGCACAAAAGCAGAACUGAUAUCUUCACUAGAAUUUGCAUCAAGAACUGGCACACAAGAAUCAGUCUUCCCAUUAUCACCAAAAAAGAGCUCUGAGCUAUGAGGCGUCUGUGCCGGCGCUUCAUCUUGCAGUUGACUGAACAGUGAGUUCAUCUCUUCAACCGAGCUUGCUUCUAGAACAGGAAGCUCACCAUUUUCAGUCAACAGCUCCUUUGAUUUACAUUGGACCUUCGCAGCCACCGGAUUGUCGAGAGUCGAACAUGAAUGACCAUCUUUGAUUUGCAGUUCUGGAGUAUGCCCAUUUUCCACAGGCAAUGGUUCACUUGAUCUGUCUUGUAUUGGCUCAUUAUCGUAACUGGAGUCAGAAGCAGCAGAUUCUAAUGCUUCUCCAUUUAGCUGUGCAAAUUGUGAACUCAAGUCUUCUACUGAUCUUGCUUCAAUUACAGGCAUUGCAGAUUCUGCGGAUGAAGUACCAUUCAAUUGGUGUUCAAGUUUAACUGUCAAGGGUUGAUCAAUACCGGACUCUGUAAUGGACUGCACUAGUACUUCCUCCAUGCGACACUUAAAUAAUGAGUUAACUUCACUGAUGGAGUCGGCUUCAAUGAUAUGUUUCUCGGUAUUAUAUUCUUCUGAUAGAGUACACAUUAGCAAUUGCUCACAACCUGCACCAUAUCAGCCUUGGUUGAGUAAAUUUUGAAAAUAUAUUGUUUGAAUAGCAUUUGUAAUAAUCUGAAAAUGACCCAUAUUACCUGCAGAAACUGAACCAUUCGCUUCUGA